ACACAUGCAGUCGAACGGAUCCUUCGGGAUUAGUGGCGGACGGGUGAGUAACACGUGGGAACGUGCCUUUUGGUUCGGAACAACUCAGGGAAACUUGAGCUAAUACCGGAUAAGCCUUUCGAGGGAAAGAUUUAUCGCCAUUAGAGCGGCCCGCGUAGGAUUAGCUAGUUGGUGGGGUAAAGGCCCACCAAGGCUACGAUCCUUAGCUGGUCUGAGAGGAUGAUCAGCCACAUUGGGACUGAGACACGGCCCAAACUCCUACGGGAGGCAGCAGUGGGGAAUCUUGCGCAAUGGGCGAAAGCCUGACGCAGCCAUGCCGCGUGAAUGAUGAAGGUCUUAGGAUUGUAAAAUUCUUUCACCGAGGACGAUNAUGACGGUACUCGGAGAAGAAGCCCCGGCUAACUUCGUGCCAGCAGCCGCGGUAAUACGAAGGGGGCUAGCGUUGCUCGGAAUUACUGGGCGUAAAGGGAGCGUAGGCGGAUAGUUUAGUCAGAGGUGAAAGCCCAGGGCUCAACCUUGGAAUUGCCUUUGAUACUGGCUAUCUUGAGUACGGAAGAGGUAUGUGGAACUCCGAGUGUAGAGGUGAAAUUCGUAGAUAUUCGGAAGAACACCAGUGGCGAA
RNAcentral lists this ribosomal RNA (621 nucleotides) under unidentified microorganism. RNAcentral's name for it is "bacterial SSU rRNA". It matches the Rfam family "Bacterial small subunit ribosomal RNA", at positions 51 to 719 of the family's 1533-position model. The record is from RNAcentral.